GAGGGCGCGGCCGGAGGGUCGGGGUCGGGUCCUCGCGGGGUCGCUCGGCUGCCCGCGCCGCAGCCCUGCGUGGUGGGCAGAGGCAGGCGGCCCUGGGCCUGGGGGCCGCGCGCUGCCCAGCCAGCGGACGAAGGGCCUGGAAAGAGGGGGAGGGGUCGAGGGUGCGGCGGGGGAGGGGCUGGUCAUUUUCUGGGUCCCGCGGUGGGGCGCGCCUGCUGCCCGCGCGGCUCCUGCGGGGUUCCCACCCCGGGCUGCGCCUCCCGCCUCGGCGUGGUCCAGCCUUGGCCAGCGUAGCCCCUCGGAUGCUUAAGUGAACAGACAGCCAGACGCGUCCACCUUUGGACGACUUACCUCCCGGGCUCGACCCUCUCCGUGGAGGGGCGUUUCAGUUUGCUGUCGUAUAAGGUCAGCUUGGAAGGAGUGAUCACCGAGAGGCACCCAGGAUCUUGUUUAGUCAAUUAAUGAGUGAGGACCAUGGACUAAAAAUCGUAGUUGGAUAUUUUGAACAUUAAAAGACGGAAAGGGCAGAUGCUGGUAAUUCCUCAUUUUCUGGACCAGUCGUCAUUUGUGGGCUUUAUAAACGCACAGUUUAUUUUAAUCGUCCACCCGAGUCAUUUGGUUCAAUUUGGAGCACUUUGUACAAGUUUUACGGUUUGCUUGCUUUGGGUUUUCUUGAAUCACGUUAGUUGUAAGAGACCUUAAAGCCUUAAUUCCCACUUGGUUACCAAUUUCUCAUGGCCAGUGCUAGGACCUAAGUUGUGUACUUAGUUGGCUGCCUAUGUUUGGUAAUAAAUCAUGGGGAUUGUUGUCAACGGGACAGAUAGACCUCCACACAACGGUUUUUCGAUCUUUAUUUCUACACGUCUAUACUCUUCCUCAUACACUCCAAGGCAGUUCUUUUGGAUACAUUGUGUUUAUUUUUCAAGGACAUAGGUUCAGGGGAGAGAGAAACCAAUAUGUGUGUUGCAGAUGUGAAAUAUUGUUACAUAACACCAGUACAAUUUCAUUCUUGAACAUACAGAGUUAGGAAAUAAAAAGUGACAGAAUGUAAAUAAAAGGCACAUAUUGAAUGUUUACACUGGGGAAGAAACUGUAAUAACUUUAAUAUUGUAACCUGAUGGGGUGCAAACGUGAAAUCCUGCAACUAAACAUUUUACUCAGUAAAUUCUUAUUGCAGAUAAAAUAUUAAGUGGAAUUUGAUAAGUGAUCAUGUUUACUCUUUGAGUAGCUGGGAAACAAGUAGAAAUGUAAAGUCAUUGUUUUAUUUCAUCUGUAUAAAUAGCAGAGAGUAAUUUAUUUGACUGGUUGACUUAGCUGGCAUUUCAGUCUUCCUCGAUUUUGUUAAUCUUAUUGAAGUCAAUUUGUGUAGUUGAUAUUCAUUCUUUUUUAAAUUGUAUUGGCUUCGUUGUAAAGCACACAGGGACCCCAAAUUACCUCUCUUCGCCAGAGUCAGUUGUUAUUUCUGGAUAUGGUAUUUCAGGUUGUUUCAAAACAGAGCUCUUCGUCACAAACACAUUAAGCCAACAUGAUGUAUAGAAUUUGUGUAACACAGGAGUCCUGAAGUUUGUUUAUGUUUUCUUUGGUGAUAAAUGCUCAUCUUCAAUUUAGAAUUUUAACCACAGCUGAGUCCACACCGCUAGCAAUGUGAUAUGGGACAGUGCCUUUGCAGAGAAGUAAUCUCUUAAAAGCCACCCAGUCAGGUGCGGAGAUGUUCCCCAUCCAGCUCUGCUAAACGGAGGCAGAUGGCUCACUCUGUUGCACAGAGACUGGAGAGGGUGACUUGGAAGCCCAAAUCCCUAUUAAAAGGCAUGUACAGGAACAAAUUGAAAUUGAAAAAGUUGUGACUUGAUUACUAGUUGAAAUAUUAAAUGUAACAGUUUUCAGGUAACAGCUUUUAUAUUGGUAUUAAAAAUUUGAAAGAAGGCUUCGCUAGAUGCCAGUCAUUGCAGAAGUUGAAAUAUCCAAAAAGUGUAUAUAGCCAAUUGAAAACUUCCCAUCUUUCCAACAGACUUUGAAAGAAGAGAUUUUUCUCUCACUUUCCCAAGUAGAUUUGUCUGUAGUUUAUUUCUCAGAACAUUUUAGUGAUUUUGAUUUUUUUUUAUUAUCAAAAGGAAAUAGGAAUAUAGCUCAGCCAAAGCUGAGCCAUUUGCCCCAGGCUGUUUAGCUAGACAUCAGAACAACAACAAUACUGCCCUUACAUUCCCUGAUUACAGAGGUGUUUUUUUUAAAUUGCACUUCAUUGUAUGUUAUAAUGAAUAAAUGCCCUUGAAUGGCUCUGAAUAUUGGAGAUACAGUAAGAAAAGAAGCCCCGUAUCAAGGAAUCUUGGCUGAAUUUUGGGGUGGAGUGGGAAAAGGAUGAGUUCCUAACUCCUGAGUGAUUCUACAGUGGAGUUAGGUCAUGGAAGAUACAGCGUCUGUAACCUCUGGAACAGGAUUUGAUUCACAGUGAGAAGAAUGAAUGAGAUAUAAUUCAAAGGGUUGAGCCCCUAGGGAGAAAGAUGGCCUUCAAGUAAAGAAAGAUACCUUCCUUCCUUCUAGAAUGUUUUCCUUCAAGAAGCAUUCCAAUGAGCAGCCUGCCCUGUUCUCUAAGAGGUAGAUGCAAUGGAUGUCCUUAGCUUCUUGACACAUUUUGGAAAGUACUGUUUUAUGAAUAACCCCCACUACACUGCUUCCAUUACAGCUCGUUUGCCCAUGUUUGGUCUCAGAGAUGGAGACCCUCUGGUUAGCAUCCUUCUUAUGAGUCGAGUUAAUGUAUUCAUGGUCCAGCUUUUUAUUCUUCAGCUUAAAUCACAUGUCCUGGAACCUGGCCAUAGUACUUUUUCACCUACAUCAUGGUUCUGCUGCCUGGACCCCAAAAGACAAUGAUAUGGAAAGACUCCAGCUUAAUUAUGUUCUCUUUUGUCUUUCUAUAUAAAUAGCUUUUAGAAAUGUAGAUUAUUCUUUUUUUGAAAUUCAUUGUAGCAAGCAUGAAGACUACUACUGCGUUUUGAUUUGAAUAACAAAGGCAUGUUGAGGUCCAGUAUUUAAAAGUUAACUAUUCUUAAUUCUCUUGCUUGAUAAGGCAUUGGAUGAUUUCAUUUUUCAAAUUAUUGAACAGUUACUUUAUCAGUGGAUUGGUCAUGGAGAAAAAGUACUGUCAAAUGAAAAUAGCCAUUAUAUGUGAUUUUAAAAAUUAAUAGUAAAAAUAAUAAAAGCAGCUUAAAGAUAGUUUAUUUUGAAAAGAAAAAAACCUGCCACCCACAGACUUGCUUGGAACUCACUCGGAACUUUGUGAGUCUGUUUAUUAAAUAUGUUUAUUAAAGGUAAUUUGGGGGUAGCAAUAGGAGGAAAGUUGGUUUACCAUUCACAAGGAAGAAAACCAUAGCUAUAAGCUCUUAAUUUUAGUGUUAAAAUAUAGCUAAAAAGUUAAAAAAAAUUCCUUAAAGGCAAAUAAUGGGAUGAGGGGCCAUAAAACAAGACAACUGAGGACAACCUAAGUAGAAAAACGAACGCAGUUAAUUUAGAAUCUACGAAUUCAUUUUCAUCCACCUGGUGCUGAAGUUCGCCUCUAAGGAGAGAAGAGUGCUGCCUAUUCAGGUACAAGAAGCAGAGAUCUUACUUUCUAAGAACUUUUAACACAUUUACUACCUGCAAAGAGUGUUUAUAAGUUUCAGCGUACAUAGUAAAAUUGUCCUCUUGACGGCCUACUUUGCAAUGGCCGUUAUUAUUUGUAUCUAUAAGUAAUUAUUGUGAAAUAUAUAUUCUGCAAUUCUUGAAUUGGAGAUCAGUUUAAUACAUUCUGAGAAAUUGGUAAUUUUUAAAUUAUUUCUAGUGGAAAUAUUAGGUCCUCGGGAAAGUACAGCUGUACCUUAAACUCCCUCUGAAAAUUCUGAAUCCUAGCAACGUGUAUAUAAAAUUACACAUCCAUUGAACGUAAGCAAGUGAGAGCCAUGUGAGGACCCUUACGCAGCAGAGGAACACUGUCCUCUGAAAUCAUUUUGCAUGCCUUCUGUAGGAGGAUUGUAUCAUUCCUACAUCUAUUUACUCAAAGGCAACUUGAGUAAGGGUGACAAAUACUUUUUACUAGGCUGGACCAACUCAGCAGGUCUGUUCGUGCGCAUGUGGAGAAGCAGUGCUGCAGAAGAGGCGGGACAGCAGAUUCCACAUAUGAGUGAUAUCAUAUGGUAUUUUUCUUUCUCUCUCUUGCUUACUUGAGAAUGACUAUCUCUCGGUCCAUCCAGUAGGCAAUUUCUUAUAAGGCUAUCAAAGACCCAAAGGACAAGGUACAGGAAAAGAGCAGGAAGUGGGACACUGGGCGACAUGGAGCAGCCAAGAUGGUACUCCAGGUAGUCUUCAGAGGGUCCCAUGCCUUGGAAGUAAUCCCUAGGCUGUGGGCUCUGCGCCCCUCCGUUGCUGCGAAUGAUCUUUCAGGAGCCUUCAUUUUUGUGUCACCUCCUCAAGGUUCAGCGCCCUUGGCAGAAACAUUUGCAGAUGCCCCAGCUGUCAGGGGAAAAGAUCACCGGCCCCCUCCAGCUCCUACAGUGGGGUGUGCGACCCUGCCCCCCAUCUGUUUCAGGAUUCUGCCCACGCAGAGUAUUCUGGUGCUAAAUGACCAAAAGCAAGAUCCACGGGAGUGCUCUGACUAAACAGCUCUGUGAAGGGUGCCUAGCACUCCUAACUAGCCCGGUCCGGGCUCCUCCCCGCUCUCUGCUGCUUACCUGGAAGAUCUGCAUGGUCUGAGUGUUUGUGUGCCUCCCCUCGACAGUUCACGUGUUGAAACCCUAAUCCCGACAGUGUCGGUCUUGGGAGGUGGGGCCCCUCCUCCAGAGGUGACCAAGUGAGGUGAGCCCUCGUGACUGGUAUCUGUGCCCUUGCUGAAGGGGCCCCGCAGAGCUCCCUAGCCUUUCGGCCCAGGGCCUGCGAGGACACAGGGAGAGGCAUGCAGCCCGGAAGCCGUCCCUCACCCGACCGUGUGAGCGCCCAGCCUCGGACUCCCAGCCCCCAGAGCUCUGAGAAGUAAACAUCUCUUUCAUUAUAAACCACCUGAUCUGUGGUACUUCGCCAUAGCAACCCAAACAGACUAAGACAAGACCGCGUCACUUCUCCAGAACCCACCUGAAACAGAGCUAAUAUCUGAAAGCUUUAACUUCCUCUCGUUGCCUCCCUCUCCAGACCCUGGGCCAGAAGAAGCAAUGUGUUAUUGUUGGUGUCAAUGCCACACUUAACAAAGCAGAGCUGGUAAUAACUUUAAGACUUUGAGAAGAAGGAGGAUCCCCAGCAGAGAUAAUUGGUUUUAAACUACAGGGAAUUUAGUCCUAAGGGCUAUGCUAAAGAUAGGAGUAAUCUGCGCCUUGUAUUUCACGAAUAAAUGCAGAGAUCUCUGGACAUCAAGUGAUGUCAGAUCCUGAGGAGUGAGGCGUCACUGCUGGUGGUUUCCGCCUCCUGCUGGAGCACAUGUUCAGGCUCGAGUGCAGAACUAAGCCAAGGGUGUGAGAGGGAAGUGGGCAGUGGUCACAGGCCCAGUAGGGUUCACAGAGGGAUGCAGUCACUCUGCGGACCGACGAUUUUGAAGAAAAAACGCUGAUGGUGUAAGAAAUGCCGAAAACGCAAACACAUCAAAGAGGCCCGUAUUCCUGGGAGCAGAAAGGAAGGUCGUCGAGGACCUGCUGGUAGAAAACAGAACAGUCUUGGGACACUGUCCUUUCUCUUGCCCCUUUCCUUGCAGGUCACUUCGUUUAAAUUGCUUUUCAGCUGGAAAAAGUGAGUGAUAACCUUGCAAGGACUCUAAGUAGUGUUCCAGAAAUUCAGCUGUUUUCCAGUUCUAUUUCUACAGCGACUGAGGCGUGGUCUCAUUGUUACAGAUGCAGUAACUUCCCUCCUGAGGUGCAGAGUCUGGUGUUGACAUCACAGUGCUCUUCGAGAUCAAGUGUUUUAGUAGAAUUUAACUCUUUGUCAGGUGAUUUAAUGAAAGCUGUUUCAGAUUGCUAAUUAUUCAACAAAAUCCAUUUCCUCUUCUUCCCUGGGCACAAAGGUUGACUGUGCUUCCCAGCUGCCCUUGCAGUUAGGUUGGGUCACGUGACUGAGUUCCAGCCAGUGUUGCCACUUCCAGGGCUGAAAUCUCAAAGGCAUGCUGACUGAGAUGGAAGUGACAGAGGGCCGACCAUGGGACUUAAGUAUCUGCAGAGUUGGUAUCUGUGGCUGGUCCUGAACCAGUCCCCCAUGGACACCAAGGGACGACUGUGUUAGGUUCAAGUACAUAAUGAAGAAAAGAUCAUUGUAAGGGAGUCUGUAUAAAUGACAUGCAAGUACAUCUCACAGUAGGUAUAAAAUAAAUACUUGAUUUCUCAUCAAGAAGUGAACCUCCCUCCCAAGCUCCAGACUGACAUUUCAGUUGUCCAAGGGACAUUUCUAAACAGCUUUCCUACAGGAACAUCUGCAGAGCAUUUCCAAGCUGAGAUUAUGUAUAUGUAUGUGUGUAAGUAAAUGCUUUGAGCACAGUGGACACUCUAUUUUUAAAGUCCGUUUGAAACACAUGACUUUCAUCUUCAGUGUCGCGUAAACGGCAGUAGGGUGCUUGGGAAGCAGGGAUUGGUAAGGCACUUCUCUAUUCUCUCCAACAUGAGGGAAACAAAAAUAAAGUCUUAUUUCUGUGACCAUCACACAGAAGCUUUUCAACUAUAAAGUUUUCAUUUUAGACUCCCACUCAGGAAUCGUCUUUUACUUUAGGCUCCUACUCUGGGAUUGGAUCAUCUUAAAGGACAGUUUGUAGGGAGAUGGGGUUACAGAGCUCCCUAAUCUCGUGUCUGUGCCAGCUUUCGUGAAGGUCCACAAUAUUUAUUCCUUUGGGUUUUACAUUCAUCAAAAAGCAGGAAAGAAUGAGAUGGCAACACUCAAAGACCUGAAGCCAUAAAAUUUCUGUAAGAAAAUACAGGGGGUAAACUCCUUGACAUUGGUCUCGGGAGUGAUUUUUUUUUUUUGGAUUUGACACCAAAAGCAAAGGCAACAAAAUAAAAAAUAAACAAAUGAGACUACGUCAAAUUAAAAAGCUGCACAACAAAGGAAACUGUCAACAAAAUGGAAAAAGCAACCUACAGAAUGUGAGAGAUCUGCAAAUCACGUAUCUGACAAGGGGUUAAAAUUCAAAAUUUAUAACCAACAAUUCAUGUGACUCAAUAAUAACAGCAACAAAAAGAAUCUGAUUAAAAGAAUGAGUAGAAGAACUGAAUGGACAUUUUUUUCUAAAGAAGACAUGCAGAUGGGCCAACAGGUACAUGAAAAGGCACUCAACAUCCCCAGUCACCUGGGAAACGCACAGCGAAACCCAGUGAGCUGUCAUCUCACACCUGUUAGAAUGUCUGUUACUGAAAAGACAAGAGUUAACAAGUAUUGGCAAGGAUUUGGAGAAGCUGGACCCUUCGUGCACUGCUGGUGGGGAUAUACAUUGGUGCAGCCACUGUGGAAAACAGUAUGGAGCUUCCACAAAAGAUUAAAAAUAGAGUUACUGUGUGAUCCAGCAAUUCCACUCCUGGGUAUAUACCUGCAGGUGAAAAAUCACUAUCGAAAUGAUAUCUGCAUGUUCAUUGCAGCAUUGUUUCCCAAAGCUAAGGUAUGGAAACAAUCCAAGUGUGCAUUGAUGGAUGAUGAAUAAAGAAAAUGUGAGAUACUAAAAAAAAGGAAAUUCUGCAAUUUAUAACAACGUGAACUGACCUUGAGGGCAUUAUCCUAAGUGAAAUAAGUCAGAGAAAGACGAAUCCUGUAUGAUUCUGACAUACAGGUGGAAUCUUAAAAAAACUGAACUCAUAGGUACAGAGAACAGAUUGAUGUUGCCAGAGGUGGGGGGUGGGGACAUAAUGCACAGCAUGGUGACUAAAAUUGGUAACACUGUAUUGUGUAUUAGAAAGUUGCUAAGAGAGUAGGUCUUAAAAGUUCUCAUCACAAGACAAAUGUAACUGUUUGUGGUGAUGGAUGUUAACUAAGAGUAUUGUAAUCAUUUUGCAGGAUACACAUAAAUCAUCAUGUUCUGCACCUUAAACCAACACAAUGUUAUAUGUCAGUUAUAUCUCAAUAAAACUGGGGAAAUCUUUAAAUUUUUUAAAAAAGAAAAGAUGAGAUAGUGAAGCUCAUCUGUUUUACCUG
Camelus dromedarius (Arabian camel) is the source of this 8115-nucleotide RNA transcript. RefSeq lists it as uncharacterized. The transcript is spliced from 2 exons. Lineage: Eukaryota; Metazoa; Chordata; Mammalia; Artiodactyla; Camelidae. The record is from RefSeq and is a predicted model, not a curated record.